AACGAACGCUGGCGGCAGGCCUAACACAUGCAAGUCGAACGCCGUAGCAAUACGGAGUGGCAGACGGGUGAGUAACACGUGGGAACGUACCCUUCGGUUCGGGAUAACUCAGGGAAACUUGAGCUAAUACCGGAUACGUCCGAGAGGAGAAAGAUUUAUUGCCGAGGGAUCGGCCCGCGUCUGAUUAGCUUGUUGGUGAGGUAACGGCUCACCAAGGCGACGAUCAGUAGCUGGUCGAGAGGAUGAUCAGCCACAUUGGGACUGAGACACGGCCCAAACUCCUACGGGAGGCAGCAGUGGGGAAUAUUGGACAAUGGGCGCAAGCCUGACGACGCAACGCCGCGUGGAGGAUGAAGGUCUUCGGAUUGUAAACUCCUGUUGCUCGGGACGAAUGGCUCCGACCUAAUACGUCGGAGUGUGACGGUACCGGGUGAGGAAGCCCCGGCUAACUCUGUGCCAGCCGCCGCCGUAAC
RNAcentral lists this ribosomal RNA (473 nucleotides) under uncultured bacterium. Its description in RNAcentral is "bacterial SSU rRNA". It matches the Rfam family "Bacterial small subunit ribosomal RNA", at positions 29 to 524 of the family's 1533-position model. The record is from RNAcentral.